RNAcentral lists this ribosomal RNA (1192 nucleotides) under Haptophyta environmental samples. RNAcentral's name for it is "SSU rRNA". It matches the Rfam family "Eukaryotic small subunit ribosomal RNA", at positions 427 to 1644 of the family's 1831-position model. The record is from RNAcentral. Lineage: Eukaryota; Haptophyta.
AGCAGGCGCGUAAAUUGCCCGAAUCCUGACACAGGGAGGUAGUGACAAGAAAUAACGAUACAGGGCUACAUCUAGUCUUGUAAUUGGAAUGAGUACAAUUUACAUCUCUUAACGAUGAUCAAUUGGAGGGCAAGUCUGGUGCCAGCAGCCGCGGUAAUUCCAGCUCCAAUAGCGUAUAUUAAAGUUGUUGCAGUUAGAACGCUCGUAGUCGGAUUUCGGGGCAGUCCGACCGGUCUGCCGAUGGGUAUGUACUGGUUGGAGUGUCCUUUUUGCCGGAGACCGUGCCUACUCUUAACUGAGCGGGGGCGGGAGACGGCACUUUUACUUUGAAAAAAUCAGAGUGUUUCAAGCAGGCAGCUCGCUCUUGCAUGGAUUAGCAUGGGAUAAUGAAAUAGGACUUUGGUGCUAUUUUGUUGGUUUCGAACACCGAAGUAAUGAUGAGAAGGGACAGUCAGGGGCACUCGUAUUCCGCAGAGAGAGGUGAAAUUCUCAGACCCGCGGAAGACGAACCACUGCGAAAGCAUUUGCCAGGGAUGUUUUCACUGAUCAAGAACGAAAGUUAGGGGAUCGAAGACGAUCAGAUACCGUCGUAGUCUUAACCAUAAACCAUGCCGACUAGGGAUUGGAGGAUGUUCACUGAUUGACUCCUUCAGCACCUUACGGGAAACUAAAGUCUUUGGGUUCCGGGGGGAGUAUGGUCGCAAGGCUGAAACUUAAAGGAAUUGACGGAAGGGCACCACCAGGUGUGGAGCCUGCGGCUUAAUUUGACUCAACACGGGGAAACUUACCAGGUCCAGACAUUGUGAGGAUUGACAGAUUGAGAGCUCUUUCUUGAUUCGAUGGGUGGUGGUGCAUGGCCGUUCUUAGUUGGUGGAGUGAUUUGUCUGGGUUAAUUCCGUUAACGAACGAGACCUUAGCCUGCUAAAUAGUGACGCGAACUCUUUGUUGGCGGGCCACUUCUUAGAGGGACAACUUGUCUUCAACAAGUGGAAGUUUGAGGCAAUAACAGGUCUGUGAUGCCCUUAGAUGUUCUGGGCCGCACGCGCGCUACACUGAUGCACUCAACGAGUCUCCACCUUGACCGAAAGGUCCGGGAAACCUUCGAACUUGCAUCGUGAUGGGGAUAGAUUAUUGCAACUAUUAAUCUUCAACGAGGAAUACCUAGUAGGCGCAUGUCAUCAGCGCACGUUGA